UGCCCUAUAUGAUUCAAACAGUCCAAAAUUGAAAUCAAUUUCAAACACAACAAAGGAGGAGCAAUGAAGAAGAAGAAAUUACUCUGGCCUUUACCUUGCUCGUUGGGAACAAAGAAGAAGAAGAAAUCAGUUGGCCGAUUUACCUUGCUCAAUGGGUUCUUCUUCUUUUCUGUCGUUGUUGUAUUGUUCAAUCGAAGGGACCACUAUAGUUUGAAGGUUAACUGCCUAAAUUUGAGACUAUUUUUAUUCACCAAUCUCCUUUUUAUUCAGGAUGGAGGACAUAUACAACAUCGGUGAUAGAUGUGGUGCAAAGGUCUCGACACGUUGUAACGUGUCAAGUGUGGACAAAGUAUCUGAUGCAUUAGAUGAUGUUCAUAAGGAAAUGUUCUUGAAUUCAUGCUUCGGUAAAUUAUACAACGUUAGGAAUAUGAAAAUAUCUGCCCAACUAAUUCACAACUUGUUAUUACGACAGGUUGUCUCUGUGAAUAAGGAUGAACUAUGGUUUUGUUUAGAAAUGAAAAAAGUUGCCCGUUUUUCUUUGUACGAAUUUACGCUAGUUACAGGAUUAAACCCUGCUACUGAGGAGGAGUAUCAGAGCCAAAUAAAUGAAAAUGGUAGAUUGAAAACUAAAUAUUUCCCAACAUCAAGUAAGAUUACGCCUAAAGAAUUAAACGAGGCUUUUGAAAAAGAGAUAUAAGAUAUGGAUGAAAAAAUAUAAAUUGGGUUUAGUUCUUAUAAAUGAGACAAUGUUGAGGUCCAAAGAAAAAAAUACAUCUAUAGAUCUUCGCACCUUGGAUAAAGUUGAUGAUUUGGAGCUGUUUAAUGGAUGUCCACAGGGAACAAAAAGUUUUAAAUUUACAAUACAUGCAUUCUUAAGAGUGUCAAAGGAUCUAAAGCCUAAAUAUUCUUUGUGAGGGUUUCCACUAGCGAUACAGGUAAAUGGCCAAAACUUGUAAUUUAGGCAUUAUUUUUAUUUGAUUUUAAAUAUUUUUAAACAACUUAGACAUCUUCUUUCAGGUGUGGGCGUUCGAGUCUAUUCCACAAAUAGCAAACAUGUAUCGUGCUAGGUUAACUGUCAACCAAUUGGAAGGAAAUGGCAGGAAUGUACACAUGUAUACUUUCCGUUAUGUACUCGCGGACAUUGGUUCGCAGUUGAGAUUGACUUUUGUAAAGCAACAAUGUUUGUGUAUGAUCCUGAUAAAGGUUGCAUUACGAGUGAUCAACUCAAGGAUGACUUGAAGUCUGCUAGUAUCAUUGUCCCGCUACUUUUGAAAGAAAUCAACAUCGAUUUGGACACAGAUAAUCUUGCGAUAGAAAGGAAUACCAAAACCACUAAACAAGCAGUUUCGGGCGAUUGCGAUAUCUACGUAGUAAAAUAUAUAGAAUUCUUGAGCAUCAACGGUCCAAUAGAACAAGUUAACGGCUUUCUAUAUGAAUAGAUGGAGAGAAAAGAUGGUUGCCGAUAUUUUUGCCCUUGAUUUUGAUCCUUAGGAACUUUCGAUGUAUUUGUACAUGUAUGAAUAUACUUUUAUAGUUUAUGUUCAA
Molecule: long non-coding RNA, 1545 nt
Organism: Olea europaea var. sylvestris
Lineage: Eukaryota; Viridiplantae; Streptophyta; Magnoliopsida; Lamiales; Oleaceae
Exons: 3
Source: RefSeq, a predicted model, not a curated record